Molecule: transfer RNA, 92 nt
Filed under: Microbispora amethystogenes
Lineage: Bacteria; Bacillati; Actinomycetota; Actinomycetes; Streptosporangiales; Streptosporangiaceae
Description: tRNA-Trp
Source: RNAcentral
GGCGCGACGACCGGUCGGUGCGGCCGCGGUCCAGGCGCGGGGCGAAGGACGUGUUCGCCGGCAUCGGGGCGUUCAUCGCGCUCGUCGCCCUG